UACGUAGGGCGCAAGCGUUGUCCGGAAUUAUUGGGCGUAAAGAGCUCGUAGGCGGUCUGUUACGUCUGCUGUGAAAACCCGGGGCUUAACCCUGGGCUUGCAGUGGAUACGGGCAGACUAGAGGCAGGUAGGGGAGAAUGGAAUUCCCGGUGUAGCGGUGAAAUGCGCAGAUAUCGGGAGGAACACCGGUGGCGAAGGCGGUUCUCUGGGCCGAUACUGACGCUGAGGAGCGAAAGCGUGGGGAGCGAACAGG
RNAcentral lists this ribosomal RNA (253 nucleotides) under uncultured bacterium. Its description in RNAcentral is "partial 16S ribosomal RNA". It matches the Rfam family "Bacterial small subunit ribosomal RNA", at positions 524 to 776 of the family's 1533-position model. The record is from RNAcentral.